This 75-nucleotide transfer RNA is filed under the name Dimargaris cristalligena. RNAcentral describes it as "tRNA-Arg". It matches the Rfam family "tRNA". Rfam says of the family: Transfer RNA (tRNA) molecules are approximately 80 nucleotides in length. Their secondary structure includes four short double-helical elements and three loops (D, anti-codon, and T loops). The record is from RNAcentral. Lineage: Eukaryota; Fungi; Kickxellomycota; Dimargaritomycetes; Dimargaritales; Dimargaritaceae.
AUGAGUAUAGCUUAAUUGGACAAAGCAGAUGCCUCCUAAGCAUUUAGAUAAAGGUUCAAAUCCUAUUUAUUCAUC